UAUCGUUUCAUUUACUUUCUCUCUCUCAUUGUUUCAGGCAGUUGCCAUGACGAAUUGUUUGGGCUGUUCCUGAAGAGAUCAGAACUCGAAACAGCUAUCAAAUUGAGCGGCGAUGUGUUCUGGUUUGUUUGAUCAGAACUAUAUAAUAUACUGAUAUUUAUAUAUAUAUAUACUGUCGCCAAUUGCAUUUUAAUCUUUGUUUCCGGGGACAGAGGGAGAGAGAGAGAGAGAGAGAGAGGAAUGGGGAAGAUGGAAUGGGGGAGUAGUGUGAGAGAGCUGAGGCCUCUGGUUCACCUGCUCUUGCCGCUGUGCGUCCACUGGAUCGCCGAGGAGAUGACCGUUUCGGUGCUCGUCGAUGUCACCACCGGAGCUCUCUGUCCCGGCCAGUCCACCUGCUCUGAAGUCAUUUACAUCAACGGCCUUCAGCAAACGGUUGUAGGUAUUUUCAAGAUGGUGGUGCUUCCAGUCCUGGGCCAACUUGCAGAUGAGUAUGGGCGUAAACCGCUGCUCAUUGUUACUGUAUCUACAACUAUUGUCCCUUUCGCAUUGCUUGCUAUCAGUGAGACAAAGGCCUCUGUUUAUGCAUAUUACGUGCUUCGCGCAAUUUCAUACAUAUUAAGUCAAGGGAGUAUUUUCUGCAUUUCUGUUGCUUAUGUGGCAGAUGUUGUCAAUGAAACCAAGAGAGCUGCAAUGUUCAGUUGGAUUACUGGUCUCUUUUCUGCAUCACAUGUAAUAGGAAAUAUCUUAGCACGUUUUCUUCCUGAAAGUUACAUUUUUGAGGUUUCAAUAGCUCUGUUGGUCUGUGCUCCACUUUACAUGUAUGUUUUUCUGGUUGAGACAGUUAAACCAACUCCAAGAAAUGACCAGAAUUCACCUGGCUUCCACAAGAUAUUGAAAAUCAUUGAGGAACGAUAUAAUUCAAUGAGAUAUGCUGCAACUAUUGUUGUAAGCAGUCCAACACUUAAAGGCAUGUCAUUUGUCUCCUUCUUUUAUGAGUUGGGAAUGUCUGGCAUCAGCGAUGUCUUAUUUUACUAUCUGAAGUCAGCCUUUGGUUUCAACAAAAAUCAAUUUUCAGAACUUCUGAUGAUGGUGGGAAUAGGCUCAAUUUUUUCUCAGAUUGUCGUGCUACCUCUCAUCAAUCCAUUGGUUGGGGAGAAAGUGAUACUGUCCGCUGCUUUGCUUGCGUCAAUAGCUUAUGCAUUGCUUGAUGGCUUGGCAUGGGCUUCUUGGGUUCCAUAUCUGAGUGCUUCAUUUGGAGUUGUCUACAUCCUCGUGAAACCUUCUACUUAUGCUAUCAUAUCAAAAGCAUCAAGCUCAGCUGAUCAGGGAAAAGCACAAGGAUUUAUUGCUGGCGUGCAAUCAAUUGCUGAUCUGCUAUCACCACUUGCAAUGAGUCCAUUGACUUCUUGGUUUUUGUCCAGCAAUGCACCUUUUCACUGUAAAGGUUUCAGCAUUGUCUGUGCAUCCUUAGGCAUGGUAAUAUCGCUAUGUUUUGCUUGUAUGCUAAAGCCGGAAGCUGUGCCAAACAGUGAAUCUAUUGGCAAUACAGAAAAUAUUGAAGAACCACUACUUACAUGAAAAGGUUCAUGCCACCGGAGAAGAUUGUUUGGUGUAACCAUUUACAGCAUUGGAAGAAGACUCAAGAACAGGUGGUUUGUUACUGCAGCUUUGGCUAUGGCGAACCUCCCUCUCUUCUUCUAUGGUUUCCAACCUCUUCUCAGAGCUGAUCAGCCUCCUUUCCACCCGAAUGAUCCGGGGUGGUGCUGCUUCUGCAGUAUGCCACAUGGCACCGCUUGGAUAUUGAUGAAAUUGUCCAAUAUGAAGGGCAUCUAGUCCAAAAGUUCGUCAGGUGACAUGGGUCCUAAAGAUGAAACGCAUCUGGUCCAAAAGUUUGUAAGCAUAGAACCUACUAUUAUGGUUAUGGGGCCCAAAGAUUAGGUCUUACAUAAUCAGCAGGAAUAAGAUCUUCUGAAAUUUGUUUAUUUGUUCUCGCCUCUCUGCGUCAAGAUUUUUAAUGUUGGCAUGUUGGCAAACAGUACUUGAAGUUUGGGACUUCUUAAAUUACGUACUUGUGAAAGGGAAUACGUAAAAUAGAAGUUUGCGAUUGAAAGAUACAGCUUGAGAUUUGAAAAUAUCACCUUGCGAAAAGAGGGUUUGAAAAUAUCACC
This is an RNA transcript of Diospyros lotus (date-plum), 2168 nucleotides long. RefSeq lists it as uncharacterized. NCBI's taxonomy places the organism in Eukaryota, Viridiplantae, Streptophyta, Magnoliopsida, Ericales, Ebenaceae. The record is from RefSeq and is a predicted model, not a curated record. The transcript is spliced from 16 exons.